UUUUGGUUGCUGGAUAUCGAUCGGACGCUAGUUUCACACACAUAAUAAUUGCAGUAUAUUUACUUUUAAAAAAGAGGAAUAAUGGAACUAAUGGAAGUAGGCAAAGAACCAUUUGGAGGAUUGGUACCUAUGAAAUGGAAAAACGGAGAAAAUAUGUCAUCAUUUAGUGAAUUAGUAUCCAAAAAUGUGAUUUUAAGCCACCCAACAGUGCCAUUUACUUUAAUUUACCAGUGGCUAGUAGUGCCACUUUUCCAUUUAGAAUAAACUUAAUGCAACCAUUUCCUGGAAACUAUCUCCCACAAAAUGAAAGAAUCUUUAUAUAGGUUGAGUAGGUUCUGCAGAAUUAUUAGAAGUUCAUUUGAAAUCCUAGUAGCAAGAUGGUGAAUUUUCGAAUGACCAGUUAUUGCAAAAUAGGAAUUGAUUUAAAAAAUAGUGGAAGCACUGGUGUGUUUACACAACUGUGGGCGUUGCUGGGGUCACAUAGCAAGAUGUAGAGAGAAAGCUCUUUGAGGCUCGGGGAGCUGUGGAGGGGUGGUUUUUGUCAAAUUGUUUGCUGCUUAAUAUGGACAAGACCCAGAGUAUGGUUUCUUGGAGUCCACAUGGACUGAAGUUGGUGUGGGAGCAGCAGAUUGAAACUGUAUGCAGUAGUCUUAAGUUUAAUGUUUCUGCCUUACACAGUCUGGUAGGGUGUAUAUUAAAUGAAACCCUGAAGGCUGCAUAUUUUGCCACUUUCCAUAGUAAAAUGACUUAUGGAAUUUUGGCCUGGGGGGGUUCGUCACAAUCUGUCCGGGUGUUUCAACUCCAGAGAAGGGCUCUGAGGUUUAUGUCUGGUCUUAGUUACAUGUUACAGAGAAGAUUGCAGGGCUACUUUCAUGCUGUGGGGCAUAAUAACUCCUCCCUUUGCUAACAUACUAGAGCACCCUAUGUAUGUAAUAAUAUAGACAGUUACGGAAUUCAUGGAGACCUCCAUGGCAGACUGGGAAGGUGCAAAUGUAAGCCUGUCUUUUUGGGUGUAAAGCUUUUUAAUCGGUUGCCACUUCAGGUUAGGGCACUCCCUUUUAAACCAUUUUAAGCAGAUUGUUAAGAGUUUUUUGAUUAAGAAAGUAUUUUAUUGCUCACUUUCUUGAACUUGAAAUGUUGAAUUUUAACAUGUAAUGCUAAAUAUGUUUGUGAUUAAUUAUUUUAUAUAUAAUAAUAAUAAUACGUUUAUUAGUUACCAAAAUAUUACAUAAUAAAUUAUAUUUAUUAUUUUUUAUUUACAUCACUCCACAGAUUUACAUUAUUAUUAUUGAGUGUGAAUGAAAAAGACAAUAAAAAAAUAUUAAUAAUAUAACACAAAAACUAUCAAUACAAAAAAAGACCUUACAGUUAAAAAUGUCACAUUGAUUUUGAACAGAAUUAUAUGUGUCGCACGCUCUACGCAGUGGAGAAAAUGUUUGAUGAAGUCCUGAUAGGUAAAACGUUUGUGGGUUUCUGGCUGAUGAUAUGUGCGGCAAAUGAAAAUUAAGUUGUUAUAACAUUACAGGCAAAUCAAUCAUGUUAUUUAACAAUUUAUAUAAAAGCUGCAGAAAUCAGAAAAUUUCCGCAUUUUCUCUGUGUCAAUGUAAAUUUUUCCAACUGUUGUGUGUGUAGCAAACAAGUUUCUGGGUACACUCUGUAGCACUUAAACCAUACAAAUUUCAGAAAUAUUUGUAUAUUUUCUUAUUGUAUUCAUUUAUAUGGUUUUAGUAAUAAUAUAAAGAAAAGCGGCCUCAAAAUUGAGCCUAGUAAGACUCCUGAAGCGGCAACGAUCUUUCCAUAACUUCGACCAUAGCAUUCUACGUACUGAGGCCGUUGAGUUAAGUAAGAUGAAAAAAAUUAAUUAAACAUGUUGAAAAGUCGUAGAAAUUUUCGAGGUUGUUGAUGAGAAUACCAUGAUCAAGUCUAUAAAUGGCUUUAGAAAGGUAGGUUUAAAUUACGUCAACUUGUGAGUUAGCGUUUAUUGAUGCCGAACUAAAUUCCGUAAGAGAGAGUAGAUUUGUUGUUGUACAUCUGCCUUUCACAGAGCCAUGUUGUCUAGUAUUAAUCAUUUUUCAUUAAGGGGUAUAAACCUGAAUGAAUUACUAGUUCGAAGCAUUUAGAAAAAUUAUUAAUUAUUGUUAUAGGACGAUAAUUGUCAAUAAGGUCUUUAUCAUAUUUUUUGUGUACAGGAUUAAUUUUAGAUGUCAAAAGGUCAGAAAAACAUUCUUGUUUUAACACUAAAUUAAAAAGAAAAUUCAAUGGUUCAACAAAAGCAUAUGCACAGUCAUUUAUGGGCAAAGCAGGAAUUUUGUCGAGUCCAAGCUUUUGGCAUAAUUCACUUAAGUGCCCGUAGCACCUCGUCUUUUGGAAAUCUGGUUAUAUAUUAUACAUAAGUGCUAAAAUUAAUUAAUUAUAAGGUAACAUAACUAACAGGCCAUUAAUUCAGAUUUCCAGGACCAUUUAAUAAAAUCGUACCUGAAUUCUGUUGAAGCCUAGGUGUUGCCUACAGAAUAUUACAGAAUACGUAUGUAUAUAUUCUCUAGGCAAUAUUAAGUGUAUACUUAAUAAUAAACUACAUCCCAUAAUCAAUAUUAAGUCGUAAAGAAGAGCUUGAAGCAAAAGAAAAAACAUAUUAGAAGGAUAGAGAAAGAAUCUCUCCUACACUUAGGCAUACCCUAUCAAGAGGCUCAAAUGAUUUAUUCAGGUUGGUGUUGAAAAUUAUUCGACAAACAAAAAAAACACAUAGCAAACUGGCUAAUCUUGUAUUUUUAUUUUAUAUAAUGAGUAAUCAAAUAUGAAAAUGACCUCUUAAAUAAUUCUUUAUUGUGCGACGGGAUAGUUAGAAGAUCGUUCCGUCUAAUGUUAAGAUUAUGCACAUCCGUACGAAAAUUCACUUUUUUAAUAAAUAUAUCGGCAGUGCAUACUCGACCAGUUUGCUUCAGUUAACUUAUGAGAUACGUGGUCUCUUCUCCUUAUACCAUAAAUAAGCCUUAGACAACAGUUUUGAAUUCUGGCCA
This is a long non-coding RNA of Anthonomus grandis grandis, 3017 nucleotides long. RefSeq lists it as uncharacterized. Lineage: Eukaryota; Metazoa; Arthropoda; Insecta; Coleoptera; Curculionidae. The transcript has 3 exons. The record is from RefSeq and is a predicted model, not a curated record.